GACAGAGGGGGCAAGCGUUGCUCGGAAUCACUGGGCGUAAAGGGCGCGUAGGCGGGAUGGCAAGUCAGUCGUGAAAUCUCUCGGCUCAACCGAGAAACGUCGGCUGAUACUGCCGUUCUUGAGGGAUGCAGAGGAGACUGGAAUUCCCGGUGUAGCGGUGAAAUGUGUAGAGAUCGGGAGGAACACCGGUGGCGAAGGCGGGUCUCUGGGCAUCUCCUGACGCUGAGG
This 228-nucleotide ribosomal RNA is filed under the name uncultured bacterium. Its description in RNAcentral is "partial 16S ribosomal RNA". It matches the Rfam family "Bacterial small subunit ribosomal RNA", at positions 524 to 751 of the family's 1533-position model. The record is from RNAcentral.